This 253-nucleotide ribosomal RNA is filed under the name uncultured bacterium. RNAcentral's name for it is "partial 16S ribosomal RNA". It matches the Rfam family "Bacterial small subunit ribosomal RNA", at positions 524 to 776 of the family's 1533-position model. The record is from RNAcentral.
GACGAAGGAUGCAAGCGUUAUCCGGAUUCAUUGGGUUUAAAGGGAGCGUAGGCGGCCUUGUAAGUCAGUGGUGAAAUCUGUGGGCUUAACCCACAAACUGCCAUUGAUACUGCAAGUCUUGAGUACAGUUGCCGUUGGCGGAAUAUGACAUGUAGUGGUGAAAUACUUAGAUAUGUCAUAGAACACCGAUUGCGAAGGCAGCUAACGAAGCUGUAACUGACGCUGAGGCUCGAAAGUGCGGGGAUCAAACAGG